CAUGCAGUCGAGCGGACAGAAGGGAGCUUGCUCCCGGAUGUUAGCGGCGGACGGGUGAGUAACACGUGGGUAACCUGCCUGUAAGACUGGGAUAACUCCGGGAAACCGGAGCUAAUACCGGAUAGUUCCUUGAACCGCAUGGUUCAAGGAUGAAAGACGGUUUCGGCUGUCACUUACAGAUGGACCCGCGGCGCAUUAGCUAGUUGGUGGGGUAAUGGCUCACCAAGGCGACGAUGCGUAGCCGACCUGAGAGGGUGAUCGGCCACACUGGGACUGAGACACGGCCCAGACUCCUACGGGAGGCAGCAGUAGGGAAUCUUCCGCAAUGGACGAAAGUCUGACGGAGCAACGCCGCGUGAGUGAUGAAGGUUUUCGGAUCGUAAAGCUCUGUUGUUAGGGAAGAACAAGUGCGAGAGUAACUGCUCGCACCUUGACGGUACCUAACCAGAAAGCCACGGCUAACUACGUGCCAGCAGCCGCGGUAAUACGUAGGUGGCAAGCGUUGUCCGGAAUUAUUGGGCGUAAAGGGCUCGCAGGCGGUUUCUUAAGUCUGAUGUGAAAGCCCCCGGCUCAACCGGGGAGGGUCAUUGGAAACUGGGAAACUUGAGUGCAGAAGAGGAGAGUGGAAUUCCACGUGUAGCGGUGAAAUGCGUAGAGAUGUGGAGGAACACCAGUGGCGAAGGCGACUCUCUGGUCUGUAACUGACGCUGAGGAGCGAAAGCGUGGGGAGCGAACAGGAUUAGAUACCCUGGUAGUCCACGCCGUAAACGAUGAGUGCUAAGUGUUAGGGGGUUUCCGCCCCUUAGUGCUGCAGCUAACGCAU
This 823-nucleotide ribosomal RNA is filed under the name Bacillus sp. U1113. Its description in RNAcentral is "bacterial SSU rRNA". It matches the Rfam family "Bacterial small subunit ribosomal RNA", at positions 54 to 860 of the family's 1533-position model. Lineage: Bacteria; Bacillati; Bacillota; Bacilli; Caryophanales; Bacillaceae. The record is from RNAcentral.